AACGAACGCUGGCGGCAUGCCUAACACAUGCAAGUCGAACGAGAUCUUCGGGUCUAGUGGCGCGCGGGUGCGUAACGCGUGGGAAUCUGCCCUUUGGUUCGGAAUAACAGUUGGAAACGACUGCUAAUACCGGAUGAUGACGAAAGUCCAAAGAUUUAUCGCCAGAGGAUGAGCCCGCGUAGGAUUAGCUAGUUGGUGUGGUAAAGGCGCACCAAGGCGACGAUCCUUAGCUGGUCUGAGAGGAUGAUCAGCCUCACUGGGACUGAGACACGGCCCAGACUCCGACGGGGGGCAGGAGGGGGGAAUAUUGGACAUGGGGCGAAAGCCUGAUCCAGCAUUGCCGGGGGGGUGAUGAAGCCCCUGGGGUUGUAAAGCUCUUUCACCCGGGAUGAAAAGAACAGUCCCGGAAGAAUAAGCCCCGGCUAACCCCGGCCCAGCCCCCGCCGUAA
RNAcentral lists this ribosomal RNA (449 nucleotides) under uncultured bacterium. RNAcentral's name for it is "partial 16S ribosomal RNA". It matches the Rfam family "Bacterial small subunit ribosomal RNA", at positions 29 to 523 of the family's 1533-position model. The record is from RNAcentral.